RNAcentral lists this ribosomal RNA (274 nucleotides) under uncultured bacterium. Its description in RNAcentral is "partial 16S ribosomal RNA". It matches the Rfam family "Bacterial small subunit ribosomal RNA", at positions 523 to 796 of the family's 1533-position model. The record is from RNAcentral.
AUACGGAGGAUGCAAGCGUUAUCCGGAUUUAUUGGGUUUAAAGGGUGCGCAGGCGGAAAAUUAAGUCAGUGGUGAAAUCCUACAGCUUAACUGUAGAACUGCCAUUGAUACUGAUUUUCUUGAGUGCAGUUGAGGUAGGCGGAAUGUGUAAUGUAGCGGUGAAAUGCUUAGAUAUUACACAGAACACCGAUUGCGUAGGCAGCUUACUAAACUGUUACUGACGCUCAGGCACGAAAGCGUGGGGAGCGAACAGGAUUAGAAACCCGAGUAGUCC